UUCGCAAUGCCCGAAAGGGUGAACGAGCGACGCCGCGUGCGGGAAGAAGGGCUUCGGCUUGUAAACCGCUUUUGUUUGGGACGAAGGCCUGUGUCGUGAACAUGGGAUUGACGGUACCAGACGAAUAAGCCCCGGCUAACUCCGUGCCAACAGCCGCGGUAAUACGUAGGGUGCAAACGUUGUUCGGAAUCACUGGGCAUAAAGGGCGCGUAGGCGGUCUGAUAAGUCAGGUGUGAAAUCCCUCGGCCUAACCGAGGAACUGCAUUUGAUACUGUCGGGCUAGAGUGCAGGAGGGGAGAGUGGAAUUCCUGGUGGAGCGGUGAAAUGCGUAUAUAUCAGGAGGAACGCCGGCGGCGAAAGCGACUCUCUGGCCUGUUACUGACGCUGAGGCGCGAAAGCUAGGGGAGCAAACGGGAUUAGAUACCCCGGUAGUCCUAGCCCUAAACGAUGGGCACUAAGUAGAGGGGUUUU
RNAcentral lists this ribosomal RNA (471 nucleotides) under uncultured anaerobic ammonium-oxidizing bacterium. Its description in RNAcentral is "bacterial SSU rRNA". It matches the Rfam family "Bacterial small subunit ribosomal RNA", at positions 364 to 832 of the family's 1533-position model. The record is from RNAcentral.